Puccinia graminis f. sp. tritici is the source of this 46-nucleotide non-coding RNA. The record is from Rfam. Lineage: Eukaryota; Fungi; Basidiomycota; Pucciniomycetes; Pucciniales; Pucciniaceae.
GCCAUGGAUCUACUAAGAUCCACAAAGCAAUUAACUCAAAAUAUUU